This 130-nucleotide non-coding RNA is filed under the name Comamonadaceae bacterium. RNAcentral's name for it is "ZTP sequence". It matches the Rfam family "ZMP/ZTP riboswitch aptamer (pfl RNA motif)". Rfam says of the family: Previously known as pfl RNA. ZMP is also known as AICAR. The record is from RNAcentral. Lineage: Bacteria; Pseudomonadati; Pseudomonadota; Betaproteobacteria; Burkholderiales; Comamonadaceae.
UGCCUAGCACGCAACUGGCGAUAGGCUGCUUUUUCGCAUAAGAAAAGCGGUUGAUGUGGGAACACCACAGGGGAGCGUGCCGCAAAACCAGCGGCGGUUUUGUGAUUAGCCGUUCGCCUGGGCACCUUAA